Molecule: ribosomal RNA, 768 nt
Filed under: uncultured bacterium
Lineage: Bacteria
Description: bacterial SSU rRNA
Rfam family: Bacterial small subunit ribosomal RNA
Source: RNAcentral
GACGAACGCUGGCGGCGUGCCUAAUACAUGCAAGUCGAGCGAAGUUUUUCUGGUGCUUGCACUAGAAAAACUUAGCGGCGAACGGGUGAGUAACACGUAAAGAACCUGCCUCAUAGACUGGGACAACUAUUGGAAACGAUAGCUAAUACCGGAUAACAGCAUUAACUGCAUGGUUGAUGUUUAAAAGUUGGUUUUGCUAACACUAUGAGAUGGCUUUGCGGUGCAUUAGCUAGUUGGUGGGGUAAAGGCCUACCAAGGCGACGAUGCAUAGCCGACCUGAGAGGGUGAUCGGCCACACUGGGACUGAGACACGGCCCAGACUCCUACGGGAGGCAGCAGUAGGGAAUCUUCCGCAAUGGGCGAAAGCCUGACGGAGCAACGCCGCGUGAGUGAAGAAGGAUUUCGGUUCGUAAAGCUCUGUUGUUAGGGAAGAAUGAUUGUGUAGUAACUAUACACAGUAGAGACGGUACCUAACCAGAAAGCCACGGCUAACUACGUGCCGGCAGCCGCGGUAAUACGUAGGUGGCAAGCGUUGUCCGGAAUUAUUGGGCGUAAAGCGCGCGCAGGUGGUUUAAUAAGUCUGAUGUGAAAGCCCACGGCUCAACCGUGGAGGGUCAUUGGAAACUGUUAAACUUGAGUGCAGGAGAGAAAAGUGGAAUUCCUAGUGUAGCGGUGAAAUGCGUAGAGAUUAGGAGGAACACCAGUGGCGAAGGCGGCUUUUUGGCCUGUAACUGACACUGAGGCGCGAAAGCGUGGGGAGCAAACAGG